RNAcentral lists this unclassified non-coding RNA (213 nucleotides) under Hevea brasiliensis (rubber tree). The record is from RNAcentral. Lineage: Eukaryota; Viridiplantae; Streptophyta; Magnoliopsida; Malpighiales; Euphorbiaceae.
UCAUCCACGAAGAUUUUAUGAAGGUAACUUUAUAGUAACUAUGUUGCAAUGAUCUAAACAUGCCCAUGUGUGCAGUAUUCAUCUUGAGAAUUGAAUGCUCUCUUUCAUCAUCCGGGGCAGGGAAGAGUUAACUUCGCUGUUUGUAAAAUUUAUAAUUGCACAAUAUGCUUAGCUAUAUAUUUGUUUUGCAGGCUGUAAGGAAGCUUAACGAGG